This is a long non-coding RNA of Rosa chinensis, 433 nucleotides long. RefSeq lists it as uncharacterized. The record is from RefSeq and is a predicted model, not a curated record. NCBI's taxonomy places the organism in Eukaryota, Viridiplantae, Streptophyta, Magnoliopsida, Rosales, Rosaceae. The transcript has 4 exons.
CGCCCCCCCCCCCUUCCUUCUUCUUUCUUUCUUUUCUCUUCUUUCUUUUCUUCCUCUUUUCUCCAAACCGAAACCCAUUUUUUCCGGUGAAACCACCGCCACCGGCCAUUAGAGGAUCUUCUUUUCCUCCUCUUGCAUCUAAGCUCGUUUUGAUCGGUGGAGGAAGAUUUGAAGGUGUUUGAGACUGUGAACAGUACCGUGAACAGACGUACUGAGCCCUCGAGCGAGGAGGACACGGGCAGGCAGCAGGUUUAGCUGCGAGACUACUUGUAUUAAGUAGAUGCUUGGGGAAACGGGGUGAACCUACUAGAUAAAAUAAUAUUUUUCUUCUACUAUUUCUAGUGAAUACCUGUACUGAUUCGAAUUUUGCUUAACUUUGGUUAUGUAAAUAUAUUACCGAUAUUUGUUUUCUAAUAAAAGUACUAUUCAAACA